Molecule: long non-coding RNA, 585 nt
Organism: Amphimedon queenslandica
Lineage: Eukaryota; Metazoa; Porifera; Demospongiae; Haplosclerida; Niphatidae
Exons: 2
Source: RefSeq, a predicted model, not a curated record
CUGUACAUAUAUUUCACUUCAUUAGGUUACUGCUUCAAAAGGUGAAGAAUAUGCUAAAUCAGUGAAUGCCAUAUUCAUGGAGUGCAGUGCCAAAGAUGACACCAAUGUAAAGGACCUAUUCUCUAGAAUAGCUGAUACUAUACCAUUAGAUAAAUUAAAUGUCAAUUUAAAACUCGGUACGGUCAAAUUAAACAGAAAAUCUGGACACUCGAGCUCAGGUUGUUCCUGUUGAAAUGAGAAGCACACACGAAUAAUUUAUCACACAUCCAGAGGGAAAGGAUAUCAUAUCUUAUUAAAUGCAUCAAUUCAACAUCACUACUCACCAGCUGGUACAUAUAGUCUGUUAUAUGGAGCAGCUGUGGAUUAACGUUUGUGUAUGGAGCGACACGAAAGCAAUGAUUAUAAUUAAUAGCUCAUCAAUUUUAUUACUUAAUAACUAUUGUUAUUAUUAUUAUUAUUUAGAACAAUAAUUUUAUUAUUGCAUGGUUCCAAUAGCAAACUAUAUGGUCUACCUUUUAUGUACAAGCCAGUUUUUGGAAUCUAAGGAGAUUUUUUGUAACAUGAGGUCUUCCUCAUAACCUCAUA